GGGGUUGGGGCUCAGUGGUAGAGUGCUCACCUAGCACAUGUGAGGCCCUGGGUUCAAUCCUCAGCACCACCU
Molecule: transfer RNA, 72 nt
Filed under: Marmota marmota marmota (Alpine marmot)
Lineage: Eukaryota; Metazoa; Chordata; Mammalia; Rodentia; Sciuridae
Also listed under: 1 other name
Rfam family: tRNA
About the family: Transfer RNA (tRNA) molecules are approximately 80 nucleotides in length. Their secondary structure includes four short double-helical elements and three loops (D, anti-codon, and T loops).
Source: Rfam by way of RNAcentral